This 315-nucleotide unclassified non-coding RNA is filed under the name uncultured Hygrocybe. RNAcentral describes it as "sequence contains ITS2". The stretch from base 1 to 52 matches the Rfam family "5.8S ribosomal RNA", at positions 103 to 154 of the family's 154-position model. The record is from RNAcentral. Lineage: Eukaryota; Fungi; Basidiomycota; Agaricomycetes; Agaricales; Hygrophoraceae.
AACGCACCUUGCGCCUCUUGGUAUUCCGAGGGGCAUGCCUGUUUGAGUGUCAUUGAAUCCUCAAAAGAAAAGCUUAACUGUUUCUCUUUUGGAAUUGGAGUGUGCUGGCCUUUUGUUAGAAAGCCCGGCUCCUCUGAAAUACAUUAGCGAUGUGACAUCCGCAUGGCACCACGCUUCUCUGGCAUUGAUAAGCAUCUUCAUGCCUGAGCGUUUUUGUGCAGCUGUGGAAAGCUUUGCUCGCUCAUAACCUGAUGGGUCAGCCCAUCCUUUGACCAAUUUAACCUCAAAUCAGGUAGGAUUACCCGCUGAACUUAA